Non-coding RNA from Cinara cedri, 1128 nucleotides. Lineage: Eukaryota; Metazoa; Arthropoda; Insecta; Hemiptera; Aphididae. The record is from the annotation of a GenBank genome assembly.
ACCGGAGUUUUACAAUGAUUAGGAACCGUUAAUUUAAUAAGAUACCGAUCAUAUUUGACCUAAUUUAUUAGCAUUGUUGCGAUAGUGUAUCGCGCAGGCCGUACAGUGUACAAUACAACAAACAUUUUGAACGCUCUGUACAAGUGACGAGCUGAAAACGCAAGAUAAGAGAAGAAAUCAACCGGUUACAAAUUGGUAGUUGGUAGUUUCAAUUCUAACGUCCAAAGACACUACACUUUUCCAGUUAAAAAUUUAAAAUCCUGUGAAUUUGGGCAGUUUAUAAUUGGUAGGCAUGCAAAGACCGUCCAUUAGCGUGAUAUUCAUGUUUAUACAUUUAAGCAGCCUUGUAAUAAGUAUUAUUUAUUGUUGGUUUCAAGCAGACACAUACCAUAUUAAUUUUAACCUAAGAAAACUGAAUGAACGAGUGAAACUGUGUAUAAUCAUUAAAUGAAACACAUUGUGGUACACUACUGAUGCAACAAUUGUUAGUGUUAGUAUAUUAUUGCUAAAACCAUCAUCGAGUCCACAGUAAACCAGAAUGGCGUCAUUUUUUAAAAUGGUACAGGCAUUACAGUCACAGUUAUCCAAUAAGGACCAAUCUCGUACAAACAGGUACGUUUCGUUAAUUAUAAAAUUGUAUUUUACAUAUUAUCUUAAUUAAAAUUGCGUUAAAGGUAUUUUAUUUGGUUUUGGUGAUGUGACGGCUCAAAUUCUCGUAGAAAAGCGGAAACUUACUGAAAUCGAUUGGUUACGUACAGUGUGAUACGAAUCUAUUGGAUGUGCAGUUGGACCAACAUUUAGUGUGUGGUAUAGAAAACUGGUCCGGUUUGGAACUAAAACACAAUACCCAUUUUUGCAAAAAAAAUAGAUCAAUUGGUCGCAUCACCUAUUAUUAAUGGUAGUGUGUUAAUUAUAAGUAAAAUAAUUAGUGGAGAUGAAUGGCCAGCGAUACAAACAAAAUUAGAAGACAAUUAUGUGACUGUUAUGCUAACUAGUUAUUUGGUAAAUCUUUGAAAUCAAUUAGUUUUUUGGUAACUGUUUCAUAGUUUUCUUAUCUAUCAUUUUGUGUAGGUAUGGCCAGCCGUACAAACGGUUAACUUCACUGUUGUUCCACCACAGUUUNCGGUG